Ipomoea nil (Japanese morning glory) is the source of this 1700-nucleotide ribosomal RNA. It matches the Rfam family "Eukaryotic small subunit ribosomal RNA". The record is from Rfam. NCBI's taxonomy places the organism in Eukaryota, Viridiplantae, Streptophyta, Magnoliopsida, Solanales, Convolvulaceae.
UACCUGUUGAUCCUGCAGUAUCAUAUGCUUGUCUCAAAGAUUAAGCCAUGCAUGUAAGUAUGAACUAAUUCAGACUGUGAAACUGCGAAUGGCUCAUUAAAUCAGUUAUAGUUGUUUGAUGUACCUACUACUCGAUAACCGUAGUAAUUCUAGAGCUAAUACGUGCAACAAACCCCGACUUCUGAAGGAUGCAUUUAUUAGAUAAAAGUCGACGCGGGCUCUGCCCGUUGCUGCGAUGAUUCAUGAUAACUCGACGGAUCGCACGGCCUUAGCGCCGGCGACGCAUCAUUCAAAUUCUGCCCUAUCAACUUUCGAUGGUAGGAUAGUGCCUACCAUGGUGUGACGGUGACGGAAUUAGGGUUCGAUUCCGGAGAGGAGCCUGAGAAACGCUACCACAUCCAAGAAGGCAGCGCGCAAAUUACCCAAUCCUGACACGGGAGUAUGACAAUAAAUAACAAUACCGGGCUCGAUCGAGUCUGUAAUUGGAAUGAGUACAAUCUAAAUCCCUUAACGAGAUCCAUUGGAGGCAAGUCUGUGCCAGCACCGCGGUAAUUCCAGCUCCAAUAGCGUAUAUUAAGUUGUUGCAGUUAAAAAGCUCGUAGUUGACUUUGGAUGGCCGCCGGUCCGCCCACGGUGCACCGUCGUCUCGUCCCUUCUGCCGCGAUGCCUCCUGCCUUAAUUGCCGGUCGUGCCUCCGCGCUGUACUUUGAAGAAAUUAGAUGCUCAAAGCAAGCCUACCUCUGAUACAUUAGCAUGGAUAACAUUAUAGAUUUCGUCCUAUUACUUGCCUUCGGGAUCGAGUAAUGAUAACAGGGACAGUCGGGCAUUCGUAUUCAUAGUCAGAGGUGAAAUUCUUGAUUUAUGAAAGACGAACAACUGCGAAAGCAUUUGCCAAGGAUUUUUCAUUAAUCAAGAACGAAAGUUGGGGCUCGAAGACGAUCAGAUACCGUCCUAGUCUCAACCAUAAACGAUGCCGACCAGGGAUCGGCGGAUGUGCUUUAGGACUCCGCCGCACCUUAUAGAAAUCAAAGUCUUUGGUUCCGGGGAUAUGUCGCAAGGCUGAAACUUAAAGGAAUUGACGGAAGGCACCACCAGGAGUGGAGCCUGCGGCUUAAUUUGACUCAACACGGGAAACUUACCAGGUCCAGACAUAGUAAGAUUGACAGACUGAGAGCUCUUUCGAGAUUCUAUGGGUGGUGUGCAUGGCCGUUCUUAGUUGUGAGCGAUUUGUCUGUUAAUUCCGUUAACGAACGAGACCUCAGCCUGCUAACUAGCUAUCGGAGUAUCCCUCCGCGCCAGCUUCUUAAGGGACUACGCCUUUCAAGCCGCGAAGUUUGAGGCAAUAACAGUCUGUGAUCCCUUAGAUGUUCUGGCCGCACCGCGCUACACUGAUGUAUUCAACGAGCAUAUAGCCUUGGCCGACAGGCCCGGUAAUCUUUGAAAUUUCAUCGUGAUGGGAUAGAUCAUUGCAAUUGUUGUCUUCAACGAGGAAUCCUAGUAACGCGAGUCAUCAGCUCGCGUUGACUACGUCCCUGCCCUUUACACACCGCCCGUCGCUCCUACCGAUUGAAUGAUCCGGUGAAGUUCGAUCGCGGCGACGUGGCGUUCGCUGCCCGCGACUCGCGAGAAGUCCACUGAACCUUAUCAUUUAGAAGGAGAAGUCGUAACAAGGUUCCGUAGUGAACCUGCGAAGAUCAUUG